RNAcentral lists this ribosomal RNA (476 nucleotides) under uncultured soil bacterium. RNAcentral describes it as "bacterial SSU rRNA". It matches the Rfam family "Bacterial small subunit ribosomal RNA", at positions 26 to 518 of the family's 1533-position model. The record is from RNAcentral.
AGGACAAACGCUGGCGGGGUGCAUGAGACAUGCAAGUCGCACGGGGUUGAUCGGGCUUGCUCGAUCAACCUAGUGGCGAACGGCUGAGUAACGCGUAGGUGACCUACCCGGAAGUGGGGAAUAACUGCCCGAAAGGGUGGCUAAUACCGCAUGUGGUCGGCGAAUCGGAUCGCCGUCCAAAGCCGAAAGGCGCUUCCGGAGGGGCCUGCGUCCGAUUAGCUAGUUGGCGAGGUAACGGCUCACCAAGGCGACGAUCGGUAGCUGGUCUGAGAGGAUGAUCAGCCAGACUGGGACUGAGAACGGCCCAGACUCCUACGGGAGGCAGCAGUCGGGAAUUUGCCCAAUGGACGAAAGUCUGAGGCAGCAACUCCGCGUGAGGAUGGAAGGCCUUCGGGUCGUAAACCCUCUUUUUCCCGAGGUAAGAUCCAAGACGGUACCUGGGAAUAAGCCACGGCUAACUACGUGCCAGCAGCCGC